CGAACGGUCACGGAAAUGAACCGACGGCGACGAAGAGGAAGGCGAAACGGUGAGGUGAAGCGGGCUGAGCCUAAUCGGAGAUGACGGAAAGUGACGGAGAGGAACGAGGGGUAAAGAGGGGUGACGAAAAGAGCCGAAGCUGGUGAAGCGGAGGGAGGGAAGAUGGCCGACAGGAGCCGGAGGGGCUUCGGGGGCUCGGCCGAGUGGGGGACGCCGGAGCCCGCGCUCUGCAGCGCCGGGACGCGGCUGCGCGGGGCGCUCCUCGCCCUCCCUGUCUCCCUAAGACACGUUUUCCUCCCGGGGGCACAAGAUGCAGAACGCGGAGGUCGCCAUCUUGGCCGCGUUCGAGCCCCGGGUGCGCGGGUCGCGCGGCGCCGCCGUCUGUCUGCAGAACGUUCGCACCUUCCCGAGCCGAACAGCUGCGUUCCGCGUCCCCGAGCCCGGGGCCGCGUGUCUUCUACGUUCCGGCCUCAGUGGGACCUCCCAGGCACGGAGGUGGCCGCGGCGCUGAGACCUCCCGGGUACGGAGGUCUUCCAGGCAUCAGCUCCACAAAGACCCGACUCCAAGUGAGGUCCCAUCCGAGGUGCCGGGUGGACGUGGCCUGCGGGAGAUGCUUUUCCACGCACUGCAGCGGUGUUGCCGGUGAGCUGGAGGUCAGGGCUCCGACAAGGAAGGAGACGGAUUUCUCACUCUGCGUCUCCUUGCAAACAGCGGAGUGGCCAGUCACAAAGCGAACGCCUUCAACGUGUGUGGAUCCGGGAAAGGUAUAAUCAACAGACCCGCAUUUCAUUUAUUUAUUUAUUUAGUAUUUAUUAUUAUUUUUUUCUUUUUCUUUUUUUUUUUUUUUUUAAAGACGGGGUUUCACCAUGUCGGUCAGGCUGGUGUUGAACUCCCGACCUCAGGUGAUCCGCCCACCAUGGCCUCCAAAGUGCUCGGAUUACAGGUGGGAGCCACCACACCCGGCCUCAUUUAUUUAUUUAUGAGACGGAGUCUCGCUCUGUCACCAGGCUGGAGGGCAGUGGGGUGAUCUCAGCAGCUCACAGCAGCGUCCACCUCCCGGGUUCAAGAAUUUCUCCUGCCUCAGCCUCCGGAGUAGCUGGGGUGCCAGGCGCCCGCCAACACGCCCGGCUGAUUUUUUGUAUUUUUAGUAGAGACGGGGUCUCACCAUGUUGGUCAGGCUGGUCUCGAACCCCUGACCUCGUGAUCGUCCCGCCUCAGCCUCCCAAACUGCCGACAUUACAGGCGUGAGGCACCGUGCCCGGCUUCAUUUAUUGAUUUUGAGACGGAGUCUCUUGUCACCCAGGCUGGAGUGCAGUGGCGUGAUCUUGGCUCGCUGCAGCCUCCGCCUCCCGGGUUCAAGCGAUCCUCCUGCCUCAGCCUCCCGAAUAGCUGGGAUCAUAGGCGCCCGUGACCAACCCUGACCUAAAUUUUGUAUUUUUUUUAUUAGACACAAGGUUUCACUGUGCGGGUCCUACUGCUCUUGAACUCGUGAUUUCAAGGCAUCCGCCUGCCUCGGCCUCUCAGAGUUCUCUCUUUUCUCUAGUAAAGGGGUAAGAGCCACCUUCGGAGACAGCAGUUCGUACCCUUUUUACGUCAUUUUGCUUCUCAGGACUGAGAGGGGGGACGGAGUUGGUGCUGGUUUUGAAGAAGCCAGCUCAGGCCGGGCGCGGUGGGUCACGCCCGUCACCCCAGCACUUUGGGAGGCCGAGGCGGGCGGAUUACCUGAGGUCAGGAGUUCGAGACCAGCCUGGCCAACACGGUGAAACCCCGUCUCUACUAAAAAUACAAAACAUUAGGCAGGCGUGGUGGCGGGUGUUGUGAUCCCAGCUACUCGGGAGGCUGAGGCAGGAGAAUCUCUCAAACCCGGGAGGCAGAGGUUGUGGCGAGCCGGGAUCUCACCACUGCACUCCAGCCUGGGCGACGGAGCCAGACUCCAUAUCAAAAUAAAGAAAGAAAGAAAAUAAACGUUUAUCUCCACCUGGGGUCCCUCGUAGCUACUGGAGGGGCUGCUCCCCUUCCUCAGUAUUCGAAACUCAAACACGGGGUGAUGGAACGUUCCCGUGGAGAAGAGGGCUUUGUGCCACACGUAGUGCCCCCAUCAGGAGCUUCCGGGCCGGGCGUCGGGAGGGGUCGGCAAACACGCCUCGCAAGGCACAAGGGUCCUGUCAACAGGGAAGUCCCGGCACUUCCAGGGCCCCACGCUCGGGCCACUUAACUCAAGCACCUUGCACAACCCUCGGCCGCACCAAGGCACGGACGAGACGUCCCUCAGCCCGCCGCAGGUCCCCGCCCACUGUCCGGCCCACACCCGGCCGCCCGGGACACAGAGGGGCAGGAAGGGCCGGGCCCCGUGACCACAGGUCCACAUCAUACCAGGACAGAGGGAGGACAGGCCCCGUGACCAGGGUCCACGUCACACCAGGACACAGAGGGAGGACAGGCCCCGUGACCAGGGUCCACAUCACACCAGGACAUGGAGGGAGGACAGGCCCCGUGACCAGGGGUCCACGUCACACCAGGACACGGAGGGAGGACAGGCCCCGUGACCACAGGUCCACAUCAUACCAGGACAGAGGGAGGACAGGCCCCGUGACCAGGGUCCACGUCACAGCAGGACACGGAGGGAGGACAGGCCCCGUGACCAGGGUCCACGUCACACCAGGACACAGAGGGAGGACAGGCCCCGUGACCACAGGUCCACGUCACACCAGGACACAGAGGGAGGACAGGCCCNNNNNNNNNNNNNNNNNNNNNNNNNNNNNNNNNNNNNNNNNNNNNNNNNNNNNNNNNNNNNNNNNNNNNNNNNNNNNNNNNNNNNNNNNNNNNNNNNNNNNNNNGGUCCACGUCACACCAGGACACAGAGGGAGGACAGGCCACGUGACCAGGCUCCACGUCACACCAGGACACAGAGGGAGGACAGGCCCCGUGACCAGGGUCCACGUCACACCAGGACACGGAGGAAGGGCUGGGCCAUGUCCAUGUCACACCAGGACACAGAGUAAGGGCCAGGCCACGUCCCCGUCACACCAGGACACAGGGGAAAGCCGGGUGUGGUGAGCUGUCACGAACCCACUCCUCGUGACAGCGUGGCAGAGCGGGAGAUGGUCCGGGCUCCGUGACCAUGCGAGGAGGCGUGGAAGCCCCUGCUCCUGCACCACGCCAGGGCACGGGUCAUGUCAUGGGCCUCUCAGGGCUAUGGGAGGAGGCGGGAAACGGGAGAGACGGGUUGCCAGGGACUCGGUGAAGGGAGGAGGGAGGAGGGGGAAGGAGAGAGGAGGGAGGAAGGAAAGAUGGGCCACAAGGAAGCCGUGGGGGGCUUUGGGCAGAGAGAGGGGUCUCAAGGUUUGAGAGCGGAAGGAGGAGGCGGAGGAUGGAGGAGGAGGAGGAGGAGGAGGAGGAGGGGGAGUGGGAGCAGGGAGGAGGGCAGGGCGUGGGGGGCUGAGGCGCCUGAGUUACAAGGGAAGGAAAGGCAGACGCACGUGGCCUGUGGCUUGGUGGCCGGCCAGACGUCCCCACGUGCAGGACAGCAGCCGCCCCGAGGCGCCCCAGAACUGGGGUGAGGGCGGAAACACGUAUGGGGUGCAGGAGCCCCGUGUAUGGUGACGUGGGAGAAUCCCACCUGAGAAUGCAGGAUCCCAAGGCAGCCCUCAAAUCUUCCGUGCACUCCACCCCCACUUUAUUUUUAAUUUUAUUUGAGACAGAGUUUUCCUCUUGUCGCCCAGGCUGGAGUUCCGUGGCGUGAUCUCAGCUCACUGCGACCUCCGCCUCUCGGGUUCAAGCGAUUCUCCUGCCUCAGCCUCCCGAGUAACUGGGAUUAUAGGCGCGCCCCACCACGCCCGGCUAAUUCUGUAUAUUUUAGUAGAUAGGGGGUUUCUCAUGUUGUUCGGGCUGGUCUUGAACUCUUGACUCAGGUGGUCCUCCUGCUUCGGCCUCCCGAACUGCUGGGAUUUCAGGUGUGAACCAACACACCCAGUCUAGGGUUAUUCAAAGGCCCAGGGGCUUUAAAUUGCAAUUAUUUUUAUUUUAUUUUAUUUUUUGAGACGGAGUUUCCCUCGUUGUCCAGGCUGGAGUGCGGUGGCGAGACCUCAGCCCACGGCAGCCUCCGCCACCCGGGAUCAAGCGAUUCUCCUGCCUCUGCCUCCCGAGUGGCUGGGAUGACAGGCAGCCGCCACCACGCCCGGCUAAUCCGUGCGGUCUCUGAGGCCCAUGCUGGCCCUGACCCGGUGUCCAGCCUGGUGUGGGAGACGGCGGGUUACGUGGCAGCACCUGCGGAGUGGACACAGAGGAAGCAGCCGGGAGGAGGCAGGAACGGGGGCCCUGGACAGACCCCUGACCCGGGCUGCUGUCAGCUCCGGGUCAGCUCAGGGUGGGGGAGUCUGGGGUGGACUGUGCUGGGACAAGCCACUGUCACCGUCAGAGGCGGUGUGGGCCGCUCAGGACACGGACAAGGGCCACGCGAGGUGGGAGAGGCCGGAACCCGAAGAGCGUUUGCUAGCCCAGGCGUUCAGAGCCCGCCGGCCCCCCGCCUUCCCCCCAGGCCUGAGAUGAAACCCCCUGCCCUGUUGCCCAACCCCGUCCUGUGGCUUCCAGGAAACGACCCCAGCAGUGCACAAUGGCUGAGUGGAACCCAUCACUCAGAGACCUGUUGCCAGGCAUGGUGGCUCAUGCCCAGCACAUUGUGAGGCUGAGGCGGGCGGAUCAUGAGGUCAGGAGUUCCACACCAGCCUGACCAAUAUGAUGAAACCCCCUGUCUGCUCAAAAUACAAAAAUUAGCGGGGCGUGUUGGCACGGGCCUGUAAUGCCAGCUAUUCAGGAGGCUGAAGCAGGAGAAUCGUUUGAACCCCGGAGGCCGAGGUUUCGGUGAGCCAAGACUGCACCACUGCACUCCAGCGAGGGUGACAGAGUAAGACUCCAUCUCAAAAAAAUAAAUAAAUAAAAAAAAUAAAAGAGCCUCCAUGUCUCCUCCAACGGCCCCUCUGACCAGAGAGACCCCCAUGGGCACACGUAGAAUUUGACUGGGACAGGCUCAUCCCUGGAUGUUGACUGGAGGCUGCUCUUGAACUCCUGACCUCACUUGAUCCACCUGCCUCGGUUUCCCAAACUGCUGGGAUUGCAGGUGAGAGCCACCGCGCCCUGGCCAGCCUCACCAUCUUUUAGUCGAUUCUUAUCAUGCAAAACCUUCCCCUGCGUCCAGAACCCACACACCUGCAGAGGCAACGGCUAC
Molecule: long non-coding RNA, 5225 nt
Organism: Saimiri boliviensis boliviensis (Bolivian squirrel monkey)
Lineage: Eukaryota; Metazoa; Chordata; Mammalia; Primates; Cebidae
Source: Ensembl